ACCUACCCUCUCGCCGGAUUCCGUCGUUCCACCCUCUCUAACAUCUAUUCCUGUUCCACCCUCUCUUCGCCAACAAAUUCUCCCCUUCGUCUCUUUCAGAAAGCCCAAACAAAAUAUAUCCACUCCAUUCACAAAAUCCUUUAGUCAACUCCAUUUUACAGUACUUUUUAAUCACCAAUAGCAAACUUCACGCUAUAGCACCAUUAAUACCGUACCACUUCCAUUUCCUGGCUACCCAAAAUUGCUAUUUGUCUUGCAUUGUAGGUUAUUCACCCUAUCCAUGAUCAAACAUUUUACUUGACUGGGGAUCAUAAAAGGAAGCUUAAGGAAAAAUAUGGAAGGAACCAUGGACCUUUUUUCAAAAACUAGGGGACGCAGUUUUCAUACCUGCAGGCUGCCCUUAUCAAGUUAGAAAUCUGAAGGGAAAAAAAAGACCAUAGGAGAUGGUUUGGCCAUGUUCUACCAAAAACUCCAAAUAUCGGUCCUUAACGUGAUAUUACAAUGAGUGAAGUUGUUAAAAUGGGACAUGGUAGAACAAAAUUCACGUUAGAAGAAGUCGUCUCUGAAGUCCUACAGUCUCUGCCAUUUGAGUUGUACGAUUUAUGGAGCUCCUGAUUCAUGCGGGCUUAGGGAAAAAGUUUGCACAAUCCAAAAAGUUGAUACUAACUAGUUGGGAUUAAAGCUUAGUCAUAUGAUACUUUGCGUUAAGUUUUAAUCUGUUUAGAGAUUUGUAUGUUAGUAGAAAAUUAGAGGACUGCUAGUGUGGAGAAACCCAUUUUAUUGUGUAUUUGAAUGGACAUUGAUGAAUCAUAUAGUUGGCUCCAACUAGUUUAUGAUUGAGGUAUAAUUGGAUCAAAAAGGGAAUGAGGUAUAGUUGUCAUUAUUGUUGAUUUGACUGCCUGUACCCUGCAAUAUAUUUCAUGUUCUUGCGUUUUUAAGGAGGUUUGAUUUUCACAUCCUGUUAUUUGGUCGAGUCAUGCAUUCCUCUAUUAUCCAUAAUCAGGUUUUACACUACUUUAUGUCCACUCAUCUUUAUGUUCCUUGGUCCUUGUUUCUUUAGGAGCACAUGUUUGUUCAUAACUUGAUCAUUGAAAGAGAUGAAUUAACUUCUCAUGCUCUUAAGUGUGUGGCUUUUGGUUAUUUUUGCGUUUGAAAGGGAUAUCAUUGCACUUAAAUUCUAGAUUGCCUCUUCAGCAGCUUGGUUAAUUUUUGGUUUCUU
Molecule: long non-coding RNA, 1219 nt
Organism: Nicotiana attenuata
Lineage: Eukaryota; Viridiplantae; Streptophyta; Magnoliopsida; Solanales; Solanaceae
Exons: 3
Source: RefSeq, a predicted model, not a curated record